Molecule: ribosomal RNA, 253 nt
Filed under: uncultured bacterium
Lineage: Bacteria
Description: partial 16S ribosomal RNA
Rfam family: Bacterial small subunit ribosomal RNA
Source: RNAcentral
UACGGAGGGAGCUAGCGUUGUUCGGAAUUACUGGGCGUAAAGCGCACGUAGGCGGCUUUGUAAGUUAGAGGUGAAAGCCCGGAGCUCAACUCCGGAACUGCCUUUAAGACUGCAUCGCUUGAAUCCAGGAGAGGUGAGUGGAAUUCCGAGUGUAGAGGUGAAAUUCGUAGAUAUUCGGAAGAACACCAGUGGCGAAGGCGGCUCACUGGACUGGUAUUGACGCUGAGGUGCGAAAGCGUGGGGAGCGAACAGG